Molecule: non-coding RNA, 161 nt
Filed under: human gut metagenome
Description: Lysine riboswitch
Rfam family: Lysine riboswitch aptamer
About the family: Riboswitches are metabolite binding domains within certain messenger RNAs that serve as precision sensors for their corresponding targets. Allosteric rearrangement of mRNA structure is mediated by ligand binding, and this results in modulation of gene expression.
Source: RNAcentral
AGAUAGAGGUGCGUUGUCAAUAAGUACGGCAAUUGAGAAUACAGGUUCUUUGAUGUUGCAUAAAAGGUGGCAAUGCCGAAGAAAUAUGCCCCCUGUAGGGCACAUUGUCUGGGGAUGCGCAUAAUAUGCGUAUAACUGUCACUUUAAUUAAAGUGUUGUGC